UACGUAGGGUGCAAGCGUUGUCCGGAAUUAUUGGGCGUAAAGGGCUCGUAGGCGGUCCAUCGCGUCGGGAGUGAAAAGCUGGGGCUCAACCCCAGUCCUGCUUCCGAUACGGGUGGACUAGAGGUAUGCAGGGGAGAACGGAAUUCCUGGUGUAGCGGUGAAAUGCGCAGAUAUUGGGAAGAACACCGGUGGCGAAAGCGCGCGACUGGACCUGAACUGACACUGAGGGACGAAAGCUAGGGGAGCGAAUGGG
This 253-nucleotide ribosomal RNA is filed under the name uncultured bacterium. RNAcentral describes it as "partial 16S ribosomal RNA". It matches the Rfam family "Bacterial small subunit ribosomal RNA", at positions 524 to 776 of the family's 1533-position model. The record is from RNAcentral.